This 643-nucleotide ribosomal RNA is filed under the name uncultured Modestobacter sp. Its description in RNAcentral is "bacterial SSU rRNA". It matches the Rfam family "Bacterial small subunit ribosomal RNA", at positions 232 to 885 of the family's 1533-position model. Lineage: Bacteria; Bacillati; Actinomycetota; Actinomycetes; Geodermatophilales; Geodermatophilaceae. The record is from RNAcentral.
CGCGGCCUAUCAGCUUGUUGGUGAGGUAAUGGCUCACCAAGGCUUAGACGGGUAGCUGGUCUGAGAGGAUGAUCAGCCACACUGGGACUGCGACACGGCCCAGACUCCUACGGGAGGCAGCAGUGGGGAAUAUUGGGCAAUGGGCGGAAGCCUGACCCAGCCACGCCGCGUGAGGGAUGACGGCCUUCGGGUUGUAAACCUCUUUCAGUAGGGACGAAGCGCAAGUGACGGUACCUACAGAAGAAGCACCGGCCAACUACGUGCCAGCAGCCGCGGUAAUACGUAGGGUGCAAGCGUUGUCCGGAAUUAUUGGGCGUAAAGAGCUCGUAGGCGGUCUGUCGCGUCGGCUGUGAAAACCCGAGGCUCAACCUCGGGCCUGCAGUCGAUACGGGCAAACUAGAGUACUGCAGGGGAGACUGGAAUUCCUGGUGUAGCGGUGAAAUGCGCAGAUAUCAGGAGGAACACCGGUGGCGAAGGCGGGUCUCUGGGCAGUAACUGACGCUGAGGAGCGAAAGCGUGGGGAGCGAACAGGAUUAGAUACCCUGGUAGUCCACGCCGUAAACGUUGGGCGCUAGAUGUGGGGCUCAUUCCACGAGUUCCGUGUCGUAGCUAACGCGUUAAGCACCCCGCCUGGGGAGUACGG